Arabidopsis thaliana x Arabidopsis arenosa is the source of this 102-nucleotide non-coding RNA. Lineage: Eukaryota; Viridiplantae; Streptophyta; Magnoliopsida; Brassicales; Brassicaceae. The record is from the annotation of a GenBank genome assembly.
GUCCCUUCGGGGACAUCCGAUAAAAUUGGAACGAUACAGAGAAGAUUAGCAUGGUCCCUGCGCAAGGAUGACAAAAAAAAAAAAAAAAAAAAAAAACUUUUC